CCUACGGGAGGCAGCAGUGAGGAAUAUUGGUCAAUGGAGGCCACUCUGACCCAGCCACGCCGCGUGGAGGAUGAAGGUGCUAUGCAUCGUAACUUCUUUUGUCAAGGGAGAAAGUGCUUGAUUUAUCGAGUUUUGACGGUACUUGGCGAAUAAGCAUCGGCUAACUACGUGCCAGCAGCCGCGGUAAUACGUAGGAUGCAAGCGUUAUCCGGAAUCACUGGGUUUAAAGGGUCUGUAGGCGGUAUCAUAAGUCAGUGGUGAAAUAUCUGGGCUUAACUUGGAGGGUGCCAUUGAUACUGUAGUACUUGAGAUAGAAUGACGUGGGCGGAAUGUGUCAUGUAGCGGUGAAAUGCUUAGAGAUGACACAGAACACCGAUUGCGAAGGCAGCUCACGAAGCCUUAUCUGACGCUGAGGGACGAAAGCGUGGGGAGCAAACAGGAUUAGAUACCCUGGUAGUCCACGCCCUAAACUAUGUUUACUCGACAUUUGUUUUUAAUAAGUGUCUAACGCGAAAGCGUUAAGUAAACCACCUGGGGAGUACGUUCGCAAGAAUGAAACUCAAAUGAAUUGACGG
This 575-nucleotide ribosomal RNA is filed under the name uncultured bacterium. Its description in RNAcentral is "bacterial SSU rRNA". It matches the Rfam family "Bacterial small subunit ribosomal RNA", at positions 338 to 916 of the family's 1533-position model. The record is from RNAcentral.